This 447-nucleotide ribosomal RNA is filed under the name uncultured bacterium. RNAcentral's name for it is "partial 16S ribosomal RNA". It matches the Rfam family "Bacterial small subunit ribosomal RNA", at positions 338 to 795 of the family's 1533-position model. The record is from RNAcentral.
CCUACGGGUGGCAGCAGUAGGGAAUUUUCGGCAAUGGGGGGAACCCUGACCGAGCAACGCCGCGUGAACGAAGAAGUUAUUCGUAAUGUAAAGUUCUUUUAACAGGGAAGAAAGAGAAAUUUGACGGUACCUGAAGAAUAAGCUCCGGCUAACUACGUGCCAGCAGCCGCGGUAAUACGUAGGGGGCAAGCGGUAUCCGGAAUUACUGGGGGUAAAGGGAGCGUAGACGGGAAUGCAAGUCUGGAGUGAAAGGCGGGGGCCCAACCCCCGGACUGCUCUGGAAACUGUGUAACGGGAGUGCAGGAGAGGCAGGCGGAAUUCCUAGUGUAGCGGUGAAAUGCGUAGAUAUUAGGAGGAACACCAGUGGCGAAGGCGGCCUGCUGGACUGUAACUGACGUUGAGGCUCGAAAGCGUGGGGAGCAAACAGGAUUAGAUACCCUUGUAGUC